UUUUCCACUGGCUGUUGUCAAAAUCAAUCCCGUUAACGGGAUCCUGUCUCGAAGGGGUCCUCAACGGGUUAAUAAUUUACUCAAUAGAAAAAAAGCACAGCUCUGGAUAUUGUCUAUUGCCUCUACAAUAUUUCUAUAAUUUCAGCCCAAGCAGCAGAACUUUCUGACUUCAAGAACAGAGUGACAACCAGCGAGAGUCAGGUAGCUGAACUGAUUAAAGAAAAUGCAGCCCUGGACACCAGAGUGACAGCCAGCGACAGGCAGGUGGCAGAACUGAAGAAAGAGAAUGCAGCCCUGGAGGCCAGAGUGACAGCCAGUGAAAGCCAGGUGGCAGAACUGAAGGGAAAGAACGCAGCCCUGGAGGCAAGAUUGAGUGUUGCUGAGAUACAGGUGGAGGAACUGAGGCUAGAAGACAGUUGGCCUUUUCUGUUGGUUUGACGGACUCAGGUAUGUGGGACCCUUUCAAACUGAGAUCACGCUGGUCUAUGAAAAAGUCUUCACCAACAUCGGCAACGGUUACGACCCAAACUCAGGUAUGUUCUCAGCACCAGUGAGAGGGGUCUACUACUUCACAUUCACCUCCAUGGGCCGAGAGCCUGGACAGAAAAUGGGUGUUUACUUGGUCAAAAAUGGAGAGCAAAUGAUAUACAACGUCCAGGACAACUUCCAUGGUG
Long non-coding RNA from Salmo salar (Atlantic salmon), 674 nucleotides. RefSeq lists it as uncharacterized. Lineage: Eukaryota; Metazoa; Chordata; Actinopteri; Salmoniformes; Salmonidae. The record is from RefSeq and is a predicted model, not a curated record.